AAUACUUCAUUUUGGAAGCAUAUUACUAAGCAGAGGAAAAGAAACUAACAAGGAUUUCCCUAGUAGUGGGGAGCAAAACAGAAAAAGCCCAACUUGGAAAUCAGUGUGUUUUGCACAUUGAAUUAUAGUUUGGAGAAGGGUCCUCCAUAGCAGACCAGGUUUAAGUCCUUUGGAACGGGACGCCAGAGAAGGUGAAAGCCCCAGAGAGGGUGAGAGCCCCAUCUAGCCUGGACCCUGCUGCAUCACAAAGCUCUUUCGGCAAGUUAGGUUGAGUAGUAAAUUCCAUCCAAGGCUAAAUACUGGUUGAGCCUCUUAUUGGAAAGCAAUGGUCGCU
Molecule: non-coding RNA, 334 nt
Filed under: Selaginella moellendorffii
Lineage: Eukaryota; Viridiplantae; Streptophyta; Lycopodiopsida; Selaginellales; Selaginellaceae
Description: rRNA LSU_rRNA_eukarya
Rfam family: Eukaryotic large subunit ribosomal RNA
Source: Rfam by way of RNAcentral